GGCCAGGAUACCUUUGGCCUUCAUGGCCAGCUGGGCACAGGUGGAUCAUGUUCAGCUGCUGUAAACCAGCACUCCCAGAUGGGACACUAGGAUGAAUUUCUUCACAAGCAGGGCAGUGAAACACUGAAAGAAGCUAGGAAGAGAGAGGGUGGACUUUUCUGCUUUUAAAUAUUCAAAAGAAUGGACUGACUGGUAUCCAGAUGCUGACCCUAACCAAUGCUUCAAUGAUUGUUAAUGACCCAGAAAAGGAAGAGGAUAUCCACUGCUAGCUGUUGCAAAGCACCUUAGGGAUCAGUGGGGCUGUGAGCACUAAUGGAGUCUGAUUUCCUACAGUGUGGAGCAGCUAAGCCCAAAGAAAGCCUGGUAAUGACUUUAAGGAUAUGGCUGUGCUCAUGAGUAAGAGAUCAGAUGCUCAAGACAGCUCUACAGAAAGUAAGCAUGAGAAGGAGAUGAAGAUGCAAAUGUGUUAUGGAAGAAAAGCAGGGGCUGAAUAUAUUUUUCAUCAAAAUUUUCACUCAAAGUAUUCAUAAUAAAC
Long non-coding RNA from Vidua chalybeata, 535 nucleotides. RefSeq lists it as uncharacterized. NCBI's taxonomy places the organism in Eukaryota, Metazoa, Chordata, Aves, Passeriformes, Viduidae. The transcript is spliced from 5 exons. The record is from RefSeq and is a predicted model, not a curated record.